AUACGUAUGGGGCUAGCGUUGUUCGGAUUCACUGGGCGUAAAGGGCGUGUAGGCGGCUAUGCAAGUCGGAUGUGAAAUUUUCAGGCUUAACCUGAAAACUGCAUUCGAAACUGCGUAGCUAGAGUACCGGAGAGGGAGACGGAAUUCCUGGUGUAGGGGUGAAAUCUGUAGAUAUCAGGAAGAACACCGGUGGCGAAGGCGGUCUCCUGGCCGGAUACUGACGCUGAGGCGCGAAAGCUAGGGGAGCAAACAGGAUUAGAAACCCGAGUAGUCC
Molecule: ribosomal RNA, 274 nt
Filed under: uncultured bacterium
Lineage: Bacteria
Description: partial 16S ribosomal RNA
Rfam family: Bacterial small subunit ribosomal RNA
Source: RNAcentral